Molecule: long non-coding RNA, 615 nt
Organism: Arachis duranensis
Lineage: Eukaryota; Viridiplantae; Streptophyta; Magnoliopsida; Fabales; Fabaceae
Exons: 4
Source: RefSeq, a predicted model, not a curated record
UUUGCAUCCAUGGUUUUAUGGGAGAAAAUCACUUGUAUGGAUCAAAUUAGUCAUGUUAGUUGUAUGCCAAAACAGGAAAUUAAAGGGGACCUUGAUCAUGGUAAGAGGAUAUUGCAGUGCUCUUAACAAAAUCCAACCUGGUGGGUAUGUUUUACUAAUUUUGUUAUGUCCAUGUAGAUCAUUAGAGCUCUAUGUUUCAGUUAUUAUUUUAUUUAUUUGAAUUAUCCUGUUUUCGCUCCAUUUAAGUUGUACUGCUUUGCCAGUGGCUCGGUCUAGACAAGGAGUUUAAGAAGCUUGUAGUUGAAACCACUGCAAAUCAGGACCCACUGGUUACGAAGGGACCAGGAUUGGUUCCAUUGCUUGGCAUAGAUGUUUGGGAGCAUGCAUAUUACUUACAGGAAUUAAAUCAAGAGAGUGAGAUUUCAUCGCCAAAAGAGUUAGGAAGUAGGUCUUUUGGAGCAAGCAACAGAGCAGCAUGAAAUAUGAUGGAGAUUUUAUGUAUUAAGAGUUGCAUGUUAUGACAUUUAUAGUUGAAAAAUUAUGUUAUGUUUGAUACUUUGUAUAAGAGUUAUUACUUUUGAUUUCCAAUACUAAGAAAUCAUAUAUUAUGUUUAA